AGUGAACGCUGGCGGUAGGCCUAACACAUGCAAGUCGAACGGCAGCACAGUAAGAGCUUGCUCUUACGGGUGGCGAGUGGCGGACGGGUGAGGAAUACAUCGGAAUCUACUUUUUCGUGGGGGAUAACGUAGGGAAACUUACGCUAAUACCGCAUACGACCUACGGGUGAAAGCAGGGGAUCUUCGGACCUUGCGCGAUUGAAUGAGCCGAUGUCGGAUUAGCUAGUUGGCGGGGUAAAGGCCCACCUAGGCGACGAUCCGUAGCUGGUCUGAGAGGAUGAUCAGCCACACUGGAACUGAGACACGGUCCAGACUCCUACGGGAGGCAGCAGUGGGGAAUAUUGGACAAUGGGCGCAAGCCUGAUACAGCCAUACCGCGUGGGUGAAGAAGGCCUUCGGGUUGUAAAGCCCUUUUGUUGGGAAAGAAAAGCAGCAGGUUAAUACCCCGCUGUUCUGACGGUACCCAAAGAAUAAGCACCGGCUAACUUCGUG
This 492-nucleotide ribosomal RNA is filed under the name uncultured bacterium. Its description in RNAcentral is "partial 16S ribosomal RNA". It matches the Rfam family "Bacterial small subunit ribosomal RNA", at positions 29 to 507 of the family's 1533-position model. The record is from RNAcentral.